GAUGAAGAACGCAGCGAAAUGCGAUAAGUAAUGUGAAUUGCAGAAUUCAGUGAAUCAUCGAAUCUUUGAACGCACAUUGCGCCCGCCAGUAUUCUGGCGGGCAUGCCUGUUCGAGCGUCAUUUCGACCAUCAAGCCCCCGGGCUUGUGUUGGGGACCUGCGGCUGCCGCAGGCCCUGAAAACCAGUGGCGGGCUCGCUGUCACACCGGGCGUAGUAGAUUUUAUCUCGCUCAGGGCGUGCUGCGGGUUCCGGCCGUUAAAAAGCCUUUUUUACCCAAGGUUGACCUCGGAUCAGGUAGGAAGACCCGCUGAACUUAAGCAUAUCAAUAAGCGGAGGA
RNAcentral lists this unclassified non-coding RNA (337 nucleotides) under soil metagenome. RNAcentral's name for it is "partial contains 5.8S ribosomal RNA, internal transcribed spacer 2, and large subunit ribosomal RNA". The stretch from base 1 to 120 matches the Rfam family "5.8S ribosomal RNA", at positions 35 to 154 of the family's 154-position model. The record is from RNAcentral.